GGUUGGACGAGAUAUAAGCUGUUUCAUUUAAAAUUUAUAUAGAAUUUUAUUUUUUAGUUAAAAAGCUAAAAUAUGAUCAAAAGACGAGAAGACCCUAUAAAUCUUAAUUAUUUAAUAAUUUUUAAUUUAUUUUGGUUUUUUUUGUUAUAAAUUUAUUAAAUAAUUUUAUUGGGGUGAUAUUAAAAUUUAAAUAACUUUUAAUAAUUUUUGUCAUUUAUUUAUGAUUAAGUGAUCCAUUAUUAGUGAUUAAAAAAUUAAGUUACUUUAGGGAUAACAGCGUAAUUUUUUUGGAGAGUUCUUAUCGAUAAAAAAGUUUGCGACCUCGAUGUUGGAUUAAGAUUCAUAUUUAAAUGUAGAAGUUUAAAUAUUAAGUCUGUUCGACUUUUUAUUCUUACAUGAUCUGAGUUCAAACCGGUGUAAGCCAGGUUGGUUUCUAUCUUUGAUUUAAUAAAAUAUUUUAGUACGAAAGGAAUUAAUAUUUAU
RNAcentral lists this ribosomal RNA (483 nucleotides) under Teleopsis dalmanni. RNAcentral's name for it is "partial 16S ribosomal RNA". The stretch from base 270 to 428 matches the Rfam family "Bacterial large subunit ribosomal RNA", at positions 2473 to 2632 of the family's 2925-position model. The record is from RNAcentral. Lineage: Eukaryota; Metazoa; Arthropoda; Insecta; Diptera; Diopsidae.